This 432-nucleotide ribosomal RNA is filed under the name uncultured bacterium. Its description in RNAcentral is "partial 16S ribosomal RNA". It matches the Rfam family "Bacterial small subunit ribosomal RNA", at positions 29 to 506 of the family's 1533-position model. The record is from RNAcentral.
AACGAACGCUGGCGGCAUGCUUAACACAUGCAAGUCGAACGAGACCUUCGGGUCUAGUGGCGCACGGGUGCGUAAGGCGUGGGAACCUGCCCUUAGGUUAGGAAUAACUCCCCGAAAGGGGUGCUAAUACCGGAUAAUGUCUUCGGAGCAAAGAUUUAUCGCAUUUGGGUGGGACCGCGUUGGAUUAGGUAGUUGGUAGGGUAAAAGCCUACCAAGGGGACGAUCCAUCGCUGGUCUGAGAGGAUGCUCAGCCACAGUGGGACUGCGACACGGCCCAGACUCCUACGCGAGGCAGCAGUGUAGAAUAUUGGACAAUGGGCGAAAGCCUGAUCCAGCAAGGCCGCGUGAUUGAUGAAUGCCUUAGGGUUGUAAAGCUCUUUUACCCGGGAUGAUAAUAACGGUACCAGAAGAAGAAGCUCCGCCUAACUCCGU